CCCUUAGAUGUUCUGGGCCGCACGCGCGCUACACUGACGAAUGCAACGAGCUUAUAACCUUGGCCGAAAGGUCUGGGUAAUCUCCAAAUUUCGUCGUGAUGGGGAUAGAUUAUUGCAGUUAUUAAUCUUCAACGAGGAAUGCCUAGUAAGCGCAAGUCAUCAGCUUGCGUUGAUUACGUCCCUGCCCUUUGUACACACCGCCCGUCGCUCCUACCGAUUGAAUGGUCCGGUGAAGCGUUCGGACCGUGGCCUUUGGACGGUUCGCCGUCUGUUGGCUGCGGGAAGUUCGUUAAACCUUAUCAUUUAGAGGAAGGAGAANUCGUANCA
Molecule: ribosomal RNA, 327 nt
Filed under: uncultured eukaryote
Lineage: Eukaryota
Description: partial 18S ribosomal RNA
Rfam family: Eukaryotic small subunit ribosomal RNA
Source: RNAcentral